GGAGAGGUGUCGGAGUGGCUUAUCGAGCCGGUUUCGAAAACCGGUGUACCCUUUAUGGGUGCCGCGGGUUCGAAUCCCGCCCUCCCCGCCA
Molecule: transfer RNA, 91 nt
Filed under: subsurface metagenome
Description: tRNA-Ser
Rfam family: tRNA
About the family: Transfer RNA (tRNA) molecules are approximately 80 nucleotides in length. Their secondary structure includes four short double-helical elements and three loops (D, anti-codon, and T loops).
Source: RNAcentral